UCUCACUCUCAGUCAAUCUCUCCCUCGCACGCUCUCACACUCUCAUGAACCUCAAUCCCUCAAUCCACCCUCAAUCCCUUUCACCCUCUCCAGUUCACACACACUCCCAUCCUCCUGCGAUUCCGGCAAAGCAAGUUUGGAUAGAAGCUUGAGGACUGAACCCCAACUCCAAAAUCAAGACCAGAGAAGCUUCGACUUUCAGGGUUGAUUUUAAAUAGGACCUACAGAAGAGACAUUUCAAAUCAUGAGAUCACAAUUUGGAUGGUCCUCACAUGUUGUCCUCAGAGCCUUCAAACUUAGG
Molecule: long non-coding RNA, 301 nt
Organism: Rosa rugosa (rugosa rose)
Lineage: Eukaryota; Viridiplantae; Streptophyta; Magnoliopsida; Rosales; Rosaceae
Exons: 3
Source: RefSeq, a predicted model, not a curated record